Molecule: ribosomal RNA, 425 nt
Filed under: uncultured bacterium
Lineage: Bacteria
Description: bacterial SSU rRNA
Rfam family: Bacterial small subunit ribosomal RNA
Source: RNAcentral
GGGGAAUAUUGGACAAUGGGCGCAAGCCUGAUCCAGCAAUGCCGCGUGGGUGAAGACGGCCUGCGGGUUGUAAAGCCCUUUAGGCGGGGAGGAACGGCGUCGUGCGAACAGUGCGGCGUUCUGACGUUACCCGCGGAAUAAGCACCGGCUAACUCCGUGCCAGCAGCCGCGGUAAUACGGAGGGUGCGAGCGUUAAUCGGAAUUACUGGGCGUAAAGCGUGCGUAGGCGGUUUGGUCAGUCAGCCGUGAAAGCCCCGGGCUUAACCUGGGAAUGGCGGUUGAGACGGCUGGACUUGAGUGGGCUAGAGGAUCGUGGAAUUCCGGGUGUAGCGGUGAAAUGCGUAGAGAUCCGGAGGAACACCGAUGGCGAAGGCAGCGGUCUGGGGCCACACUGACGCUGAGGCACGACAGCGUGGGGAGCAAAC